Molecule: ribosomal RNA, 458 nt
Filed under: uncultured bacterium
Lineage: Bacteria
Description: partial 16S ribosomal RNA
Rfam family: Bacterial small subunit ribosomal RNA
Source: RNAcentral
CCUACGGGCGGCAGCAGUGAGGAAUAUUGGUCAAUGGGCGAGAGCCUGAACCAGCCAAGUCGCGUGAGGGAGUACUGCCCUAUGGGUUGUAAACCUCUUUUGUCGGGGAGCAAAAGCCGGACGUGUCCGGCUGUGAGAGUACCCGAAGAAAAAGCAUCGGCUAACUCCGUGCCAGCAGCCGCGGUAAUACGGAGGAUGCGAGCGUUAUCCGGAUUUAUUGGGGUUAAAGGGUGCGCAGGCGGAUUGUUAAGUCAGCGGUCACAUCGUGGGGCUCAACCCCAUCCAGCCGUUGAAACUGGGGAUCUAGAGUGUGCGAGAGGUAUGCGGAAUGCGUGGUGUAGCGGUGAAAUGCAUUGAUAUCACGCAGAACCCCGAUUGCGAAGGCAGCAUACCGGUGCACAACUGACGCUCAGGCACGAAAGCGUGGGUAUCGAACAGGAUUAGAUACCCUAGUAGUC